Non-coding RNA from Podarcis lilfordi (Lilford's wall lizard), 19946 nucleotides. Lineage: Eukaryota; Metazoa; Chordata; Lepidosauria; Squamata; Lacertidae. The record is from the annotation of a GenBank genome assembly.
AUCAAAGCGGAAGGUGGUUGGAGCCGUUGAAGGAAGGAACAUCUGCAGGAAGAAGCUGAGGCAGAGAGAAGAAAAAGGACUCCGGGAGGCACCAUGGUAUCCAAAAGGGGAAAGGGGAUAAGUCGUUUCUAGUCAGCUGCCUUUUUCUAAGGCCAUUGGUUAUCUUGCCCCAUGUGCUCUUUAGCCCAGGAUCUCUGGAAAAUGGAGGUCUUUCUAAGGCUUCCUGCUGGAGAUCCUUCUGGUGGGAAAUGCUGUGGAUUGAACAGGAUCCGUUUGCAUGAAGUAUGUCAUUAAGCUAGAAUUCAGAAGGCCCCAACUGCCCUAUUACAGUGGGAGAAAAGCAGUCUGCUUCUCUCCCACUGUAUUUUCAGGGAAUAGGAGAUUCCAUGUCUAUAAAUGAAGUGGGGACAGGAUGCCAGAGAGCUUUUCAUGUCUACUUCCUUGUAUAAUGAAGAGCUUGAUAUGACUGCUCUUUAAACAGUAAAGGUAAAGGUAAAGGGACCCCUGAUCAUUAGGUCCAGUCACGGAUGACUCUGGGGUUGCAGUGCUCAUCUCGCUUUAUUGGCCGAGGGAGCCGGCGUACAGCUUCCGGGUCAUGUGGCCAGCAUGACUAAGCUGCUUCUGGCAAACCAGAGCAGCACAUGGAAAUGCCGUUUACCUUCCCACCAUUUAUCUACUUGCACUUUGACGUGCUUUCAAACUGCUAGGUUGGCAUAAGCAGGGACCAAACAACAGGGCUCAUCCCAUCGCGGGGAUUCGAACCGCCGACCCUCUGAUCGGCAAGCCCUAGGCUCUGUGGUUUAACCCACAGCGCCACCCGCAUCGAAUCUUUAAACAGUAGGUUUGUUUUAAGAUAUCAUUUUAACAGCCUAAUCCAUUAAAUGGUCACUUAGAAGAACUCCAGGAUGAGACACCACUGAAAAUAAGGAGAUAAGAUGGCAGCUAAGAAUAAGGUCCUGUCAACAAAAAGAGGUGAGCUUCUGCAGACUGCUACUCUGAUUUGGUUUUUGACCACGAAAUUCUUUCAUAGAAGUUGUGCUAACUGUCUGCUCCUUUAUAUGGUUCUGAACGCAGGAUGACAUAAGGCACCAAUCCAAAUGAGCAGUUAAAAUGGCGGGAGGCCUGACAUUCACAGAACGUAAGUUGUUUUUACUAUUUCCUCUUCAGUGCCAUACAGGAAGGCAGAGUUCCUGUACCCAUACCUACAUCUUGGGAGGGAGACCUUGAGCCUUUCUUUCUGCAGAGUUUGGGUAUGAUAUCUCAAGUGGCAGAAAAAUGGAACCUGGUAUCUAAAUGGUGAUGAGGACCACCUCCCCCACCCUGGGAACAUUUGUGCCAAGUUUGGCAACAAUAUUUCAAGAAACGGCAAAACCUAUGUAAAUCCCAUUUCUGUAAAUCCCAUGGCAUUAGCUACCCCUCCCAGUUUGGUGUCAUCUGCCAAUUUGAUGAGCAUCUCCUCAAUUCCUUCAUCCAAGUCGUUUAUAAAAUUGUUGAACAACGGGCCCAGGACAGAACCCUGUGGCACCGCACUUUUCACUUUUCCCCAGGAUGACAAGGAACCAUUAAAAAAUAGUCCUGUAGCACCUUAGAGACCAACUAAGUUUGUACUGGAUAUAAGCUUUUGUGUGCAUACACACUUCUUCGAUACACUGAAGCAGAAGUCACCAGACCCUUAUAUAUCUGCAUACUAUCCCUUGCUUUUUCCUGUAGAACUAAUUGCAGUCGUUAACAGUCAUCAACAGUUUUUCCAUACCCAUUAAGUCAAUCACCCAUCUCCCACUACCCUUCUGAGAAAAACCCCACCCCACCCUCCCACUGUAUAUAAGGGUCUGGUGACUUCUCCUUCAGUGUAUCUGAAGAAGUGUGCAUGCACAUGAAAUCUUAUACCCAGAGCAAACUUAGUUGGCCUCUAAGGUGCUACUGGACUAUUUUUUAAUUUUUUAUUUUGACUGUGUCAGACCAACACAGCUUCCUACCUGAAUCAGGGAACCAUUAGUGAGCACUAUUUCGGUUCAGUCAGUCAACCGGCUACAAAUCCACCUAACAGUUACCUCAUUCAACCCACACUUUACCAGUUUUCUCACAAGAAUAACAUGGGGAACUUUGUCAAAAGCCUUACUGAAAUCAAGAUACACUAUGUUCACAUCAUUCCCCUGUUCCACCAAACUUGUUACUCCAUUAAAAAAAAAGAAAUGAGAUUUAUCUGGCAGAGUAGAGCUGAAAACUGAAUUCCUGCAGGAUCAUCACUGCCUACGAUUUUGCUCCUGAGCUACAAGUUUUUCAGGGAUCUACCCUACUGGGAUUUAGCUGCUAUCACACAAAGGCUUUUUUGCAAGUUUUCGCUGAUGUUCAAGUAAAUUACAUACUAUGUGACCCAACACCACAAUGCAGCUUCAAGAACCAGUGUGGCUUCCAGAUCCAAUGCAGCUUCCAAAUCCAAUGUGGCUUCCAGAUCCAAUGUGGCUUCUAGAUCCAAUGUCUCUUCCAGAUCUAAUGUGGCAUCCAGGUCAAUACUAAAACGCAGACGAAAACCACCUCCCAGAAAAGGUAUGUAUGCAGCACACAUAGAACUGGUUCAUAGCCUAGACGAGGAACACACUGGAAAGGAAAAGUGGGAGAGCAACAGGAGGCAUGUGUGACCAGUCGUAGUGGAGAGGGCUGGAGAAAAGCCAGCCGUGCUCUGUCACUCCAACAGGCUCAUUUAGCCAAGCAAACUAGUGCUAUGCCAGCUUCAGACUGUGUUCUCCGCUGAUCCACAAUGUGGUAAGGAUUUACCUCUCUACCACUGCUCCUUGCCCAGGUGAGGGAACAAACCUUUAAAUUUAAGUUUAAUCCAGACAAGACUGAGGUGCAGUCAGUGGGUGGUUCCCUAGACAAGAUGGGUGGGAUAUGGCCUGUUCUGGAUGGGGUUAGACUCCCUCUGGAUCUGGAUGGGGUUAGACUCCCUCUGGAUCCAUUACUGUCACUUGAAAUGAAAAAGCAAAAAAGUUAGCCAUGGUACUUAAGCAGAUUUUCUUUCUUUUUGUCCAUCAAGGAAAACUUGCUGCUGUUUUGCAUGAGAUAAAAGAGUUCUUUCUCUCUUCCAUUGGUACAUUUAUUGUAGUGAUGCUGUGCCUGGUCCUGUUUUUUGCUGCAUUUGGAGCAGUUAGUCUGUGUAAGUCUAGGCUGUGUAAGCCUUUAGCAUUAUCCUGGUUGGCUUUAUAUCAGUAUGAAGAAUACUUUCAAAAGUGUCACCAUAAUCCAACCACAGCUAAGCCCUUUCACCUCCCAUUGAUUCCAGUGCGUAAGGUAAGGAUGUGGCUAAAUCUCACCCAUUGAAAUGAAUGCCUGUUUCUUGCCCCUCAAUAACUGCUUUCGGACUUCUUAGGCCAACAUUAUGAAGCAACCUGUGCAGUCACCUGUCCUACCUUGCAACUCCCUGUUCCAUUUCCUCCUAGAAAAACAAGUGUAUGGUCUGCUUCACUGAGUGGUCAGAACAGCUGAAUUCAAACAAAAGAGGUCUUCAGUUUAUCAACCACCCUUCACAGGGUGAUUUACAUGUUUCAUUUUAAUGCAGUUUUAUUACUGGAAUGUUGCCCAGUCUGCUGCCUGAUGCUUCAUUAAACACUUUUCCUUUGAGAUGGGAAGAGCUUUAAAAAAUUGCUAACACACGGGGAGCCUUGAUUCCAAAUCAGCCGCAGCAAUUCUGGGGUGGAGGUACUGUCGCAUCAGCCGACUCACCAUUUCUUUCCCUUCUAACUCUUCCAUAGAUAUUCAUAAACGGGAUCACAAAUCACCUGAUAUGGAUAUAGCAAUGAAAACUAUCAGGGACUUCAUGAUCAAACAGAAACCAUCCCUCCAAGGAAGGAGUGGUAAGUAAGGUGUUAUAGUCCAUACACUUAGGGCCACUCCUUGCCCCAGCUCCAGCAGGGGGUAUUGCCCCAUAGAAGAGCUUCUUCCCAGCCACUUGACUCAGCUGGAAGAAAAGUCACUGUGAAGUGGCUGGACUACAGUAAGAUAGUAGUAGGUGGAAGAAGAAGUAAAUUCCAUCCUCUCACUUACCACUUGCCCUCUGGAAAUGCUGGGGCCCCAGCUCAUAUCCCCGUUCAUAGCAUUCAACAGGGACAAAACUGGGAGCCCAUGUUUGCUGAAGAGACAUGUAGGCUGUGUCCACAUUAGAGUGUUCAUGUGUGUGUGGAGACACUGUUUCUGCAUCUUCAGACACACACAAGCUUUUUUCAGUUUUAUGCCUCCAAAAUCUAUCCCAAAUGUUCCCGUCCACACUAGCCCAGCAGCACAGCUAAUCAUUUUGGCACCAGCCACAAUGACUAGGUUCUUCCACUCUUAUUGGAAGUAUGUCUUCGAAUACCAGUUACUGAAAACCACAGAAGGGCAGGGUUCUCUUGCACCUAGGUCCUGCUUACGAGUUGAACUUUGGCCCACUUGCCAAUUCUCAGCUGUGCUGGAAUUCAGGCUCCUCAGGAGUCCGGAGGAACAUUGCCUGACUGUGGGGCAUGAAGGCCGCUCCUUCCAAGGCCCUUUCAAUCUGGCCUAGGGGGUGAGGCCCACACUCACCAGCCCCACUGAAGAGGCUCCUCAUGAGGCCGGAGGAAUACACAGUGGUAUCUCAGGUUAAGUACUUAAUUGGUUCUGGAAGUCCGUUCUUAACCUGAAGCGUUCUUAACCUGAAGCAGACCUUCCCACGGAAAGUAAUGGAAAGUGGAUUGAUCCAUUCCAGACGAUGAAAAACACUCCCUAAAACAGCAAUUUAACACAAAUUUUACUGUUUAACAAAACCAUUGAUCCAUAAAAUGAAGGCAAUAAUCAAUGUACUGCACUAUAAAAUAAAUAAGACAGUAUUUUAGAUGAAAAAAAAUAACAUUUAUUUCUUUUCUUACGUGCACUGAUGAUUGUCAGUUUGGAUGGGGGGCUUUUAUCCAUUUCUGAAGUCACACAAUCCACCAGUAGCUGAACUGGGUUCCACACAGUCACAAGAACAAGUCACAAACAUGAAGACACAAGCCACAGUCACAAAAGCAAAGUCACAAGUCAGUCCCAUAAAAUGAAGAACAAGUCACAGUCAAAAAACCGACAAAGCCACACAAAAAGGAACCAGGCGAUGAAAAGCGACCCCUAAAACAGCAGUUUUACAUGAAUUUAACUUUCUAACAAGGCCACUGAUCCAUAAAAUGAAAUCAAUAAAACAGUACAAAAUGAAAAUUUGAUUUUUUCCUUACCUGCGCUGAUGAUAGUCCUUGUUUGGAUGGGGGCUCAGGGUCCUCUUCCACAAUCACAAUCGGCUUGGGGAAUUCGCGGAGGCCUCAGAGAGCUCCGUAGGCCCCGCGGAUGGCCGGGUUUGGCUCCAGGCAGCGGCGAGGCCUCCGAGAGCUCAGACAACUUACUUCAGGGUUACAAUUAUUUGUAACCCAAAAAAACGUUUGUAACCCGAGGUACCACUGUAGUCCGGCUGUGGGGCGUGAAGGCCGCUCCCUGCAAGGCCCUUUCCCCCUGGCCUAGGGGGCUGGGCCCACACUCACCAGCCCCACUGAAGAGGCUCCUCAUGAGGCCGGAGUAACAUUGCCUGACUGUGGGGCAAUAAGGCCGCUCCCUGCAAGGCCCUUUCCCCCUGGCCAUGGGGCAAGGCCCACACUCACCAGCCCCACUGAAGAGGCUCCUCAUGAGGCCGGAGUAACAUUGCCUGACUGUGGGGCAAUAAGGCCGCUCCUUGCAAGGCCCUUUCCCCCUGGCCAUGGGGGCUGGGCCCACACUCACCAGCCCCACUGAAGAGGCUCCUCAUGAGGCCGGAGGAACAUUGCCUGACUGUGGGGCAAUAAGGCCGCUCCCUGCAAGGCCCUUUCCCCCUGGCCAUGGGGCAAAGCCCACACUCACCAGCCCCACUGAAGAGGCUCCUCAUGAGGCCGGAGUAACAUUGCCUGACUGUGGGGCAAUAAGGCCGCUCCCUGCAAGGCCCUUUCCCCCUGGCCAUGGGGCAAGGCCCACACUCACCAGCCCCACUGAAGAGGCUCCUCAUGAGGCCGGAGUAACAGUGCCUGACUGCGGGGCAAUAAGGCCGCUCCUUGCAAGGCCCUUUCCCCUGGCCAUGGGGGCUGGGCCCACACUCACCAGCCCCACUGAAGAGGCUCCUCAUGAGGCCGGAGGAACAUUGCCUGACUGUGGGGCAAUAAGGCCGCUCCCUGCAAGGCCCUUUCCCCCUGGCCAUGGGGGCUGGGCCCACACUCACCAGCCCCACUGAAGAGGCUCCUCAUGAGGCCGGAGGAACAUUGCCUGACUGUGGGGCAAUAAGGCCACUCCCUGCAAGGCCCUUUCCCCCUGGCCAUGGGGCAAGGCCCACACUCACCAGCCCCACUGAAGAGGCUCCUCAUGAGGCCGGAGUAACAUUGCCUGACUGUGGGGCAAUAAGGCCACUCCUUGCAAGGCUCUUUCCACCUGGCCAUGGGGCAAGGCCCACACUCACCAGCCCCACUGAAGAGGCUCCUCAUGAGGCCGGAGUAACAUUGCCUGACUGUGGGGCAAUAAGGCCACUCCUUGCAAGGCCCUUUCCCCCUGGCCAUGGGGCAAGGCCCACACUCACCAGCCCCACUGAAGAAGCUCCUCAUGAAUUGGUGCCAAAGAAGGACAGAACUUUUUUUAUGUAUGCUACAACAGCAGCAAGAAUACUCAUUGCAAAGUAUUGGAAGACACAAGAUCUACCCUCUCUGGAAGAAUGGCAGAUGAAGGUGAUGGACUACAUGGAAUUGGCAGAAAUGACUGGCAGAAUCCGAAACCAGGGAGAAGAGUCGGUGGAAGAAGAUUGGAAGAAAUUUAAAGACUAUUUACAGAAAUAUUGUAAAAUUAAUGAAUCUUAGAAGGAUGUUGGAUAGAAACUAAGUGGUUUCCAGCUGUAAUGCUUUAAGAGAUAUGAAAAAAGGUUUACAAAUGGGUAAAAGCUUAAUGGUAAGGAUUUGCUGAACUAACAAACUGAACUGGAAUACAAAAAAGGGAGGUACGAGGAGGUCCGGGGAAAUGAGUGUAAGGAAGAUAUGCUAUGGAAAAUUAAUGUGUUUUUAACUGUUUUUAUUUUGUAUGUUUCUUUUUAUUUUUUCAUUUCUUUGUUAUACCUUAAAAACUUUAAUAAAUAUCUAUGAAGAGGCUCCUCAUGAGUCCGGAGGAACAUUGCCUGACUGUGGGGCAAUAAGGCCACUCCUUGCAAGGCCCUUUCCACCUGGCCAUGGGGCAAGGCCCACACUCACCAGCCCCACUGAAGAGGCUCCUCAUGAGUCCGGAGUAACAUUGCCUGACUGUGGGGCAAUAAGGCCACUCCCUGCAAGGCCCUUUCCACUUGGCCUAGGGGGCUGGGCCCACACUCACCAGCCCCACUGAAGAGGCUCCUCAUGAGGCCGGAGGAACAUUGCCUGACUGUGGGGCAAUAAGGCCACUCCCUGCAAGGCCCUUUCCACCUGGCCAUGGGGCAAGGCCCACACUCACCAGCCCCACUGAAGAGGCUCCUCAUGAGGCCGGAGUAACAUUGCCUGACUGUGGGGCAAUAAGGCCACUCCUUGCAAGGCUCUUUCCACCUGGCCAUGGGGCAAGGCCCACACUCACCAGCCCCACUGAAGAGGCUCCUCAUGAGGCCGGAGGAACAUCGCCCGGCUGUGAGUGUGAAGGCCACCAGGCAGAGGGCCUUGUCGGUGGUGGCACCCGCCCUGUGGAACGCCCUCCCACCAAAUGUCAAAGAGAAAAUAACUACCAAACUUUUAGAAGACAUCUGAAGGCAGCCCUCUUUAGGGAAACUUUUAAUGUUUAAUAAGUUAUUGCAUUUUAGUGUUCUGUUGGAAGCCGCCCAGAGUGGCUGGGGAAACCCAGCCAGAUGGGCGGGGUAUAAAUAAUAAAUAAUAAAUAAUAAAUUAUUAUUAUUAUUAUCAUCAUCAUCACUGCAAGGCCCUUUACACCUGGCCUAGGGAGCUGGGCCCACACUCACCAGCCCCACUGAAGAGGCUCCUCAUGAGGCCGGAGGAACAUCGCCCGGCUGUGGGGCGUGAAUGCCGCUCCCUGCAAGGCCCUUUCCGCCUGGCCUAGGGGGUGAGGCCCACACUCACUAGCCCUGCUAUGUUCAAUAUGUAUUCUAUAGUUGUCCUCCUUUGUAAUCUUUUAUUCUCUAAUCUUUAAGAUAAUAUUUUAAUUUUCUGUCAUAUUGAUUUGACUGUAUAUGUUUGACUUUCUUCAGAUUUUUUUAUUUAUGUUUUAUUGAUUUAAUAUGCUGUAAACUGCUUUGAGAUUUUUCUUAAAAAUAUAAAGCGGUAUAGAAAUUUUAAAAAUAAAUAAUAUAUAAACAAUGUCACAUCAAAGUAAUUGCAGAGGCAAGCAAUUUUAUCCUCAGUACCAAGUGAUAUAAGAAUUAAAGACUCCGGGUAUAUAUGUUUUAUUUUAAUAAUGUUUCAGUGUUUCAUAUUAAUUGCAUUUAACCUUUUAAAAUGUAUGAGGCUUGAUUUUUGUGAGUUCUGCAUUUGUGAGUCUCUCUUUGUCUGACCCUGGAAGCAGCAGAAAUGGCAGGAUGUUUUCCUAUGAGUUAAUAUCAGUGUGUUAAGCAUAAAUCCUUGGAAGUUUCCUGAAAGACAGAUGGAGGAAUGUUAUUAAACACUGAUCAUAGACUAGUGGGACAUUCAAUACCUAAAAGAGCAAAAGGCCUAGGCGCUUCUGGUCAACCCCAAGGUGAUAGUGGGGGAAGUGGAGAGCAGGAAGACACCAUACAUGUUUUCUAUCCUAUGGCUUGUAACCUUUCCUGACAUAUGAGAAGAUGUUUGGUGACUCUUUGUUUGCUGUGUUUGAACUACAAUAUAAGCUUUUGUUCUGAAGCGCAUCAGGACAGACCUUCUCAACUAGCACCUUGGGUUGAGCUCUGUCCUAUUGCAAUAGAUAAAUAAAAUACAAUUGUACCUUGGAAGUCAAUUGGAAUCUAUUCCGGAAGUCUGUUCGACUUCCAAAACAUUCGGAAACCAAAGCGCGGCUUCUGAUUUGAUCGUUUGGGAACCGAUUUGGUCAGGAGCCAAGGCGUUUGAGAUCCAAGGUACAACUAAAUAAAAAUACUGAGUCUCUAAAUCUGGAUGCUGGGCUCGAAAUAAUUUCCUUGGUUCUGUGGUUUAUUUAAAAGGUGGUCCCACACCUGGGUAACAAACAGAAGUGUUGCAGAGGUGAAUUCUUAGCACACAAGCAAUAGAAUCACAAUGCCUCUCUAAGAUCUCCAGAGCACAGUUAAUCAGAUCAAUGCUCAGCAGAUUACAGACCACCCUGAAUGCUAGAAUGUGGCCAGUCACAAGUUAUAGGGAAACAGCCUUUUUAUAGAGUUGAAUAGCUGUUUGAGAUCUCACUGACCUGAAUUAUCCAAACCUUUCAGAUUCUGAAAUACUUGCUGAAGCUGAGAAGUUAGCAGGUGAAUUGCUUAUAUGGGCAGACAGAGCAAAUGAAGUCCAGUCUGCAAUCAGUAAGUUAUUCUUAAGAUGGUGAUGUUGAGAAAUCAGAGGAUAGGGGGAACCCAUGUACUGAAAGCCCCUCAACUGCACAGCUGUUGAAGGUAUAAAGGUCCCACCAUCCUCUAGAAUCUUCCCGGUUUCUGGGGGUUUUCCUGUUGUUAUUCUGUCUCUCACAGCUACAAUAAACCUACCAUUAAAAUUAUGGACUGGUCAUUUCUUCGUCAGAGGGCAAACAGGCAAACUUAGCAAGGGAUCAGAUACACACACAAACACACCCCGGUAUGAGAAGAGCAAUGAGAGACACUCCAGGGUAUAAUGUUCUGUACCUCCUCCAUUGAAGACUUUAUUUGCAAGCAGAAUCAUAGAAUUGUUGAGUUGGAAGAAACCCCAAGCAUAAUCUAGUCCAGUAAUCUAGUCCAACCCCCUGCAAUGCAAGAAUCUCAUCUAAAGCAUCUUGUCUAAAUAUGUGUCAAAUAAACCAUACUUCUUAAGCACUCACCUCCACUAUUCCUCGAUUUUCUCAAUGGAAACACAAUCCUGGGCAAGCAACCGGAACCUCCCAAGAUCUUGCUACUGCUCGGCAGAGAUUGGGGGUGCCACACAAUCUUCAUAGCAUUACCAAUCUGUUGAUGAAUGGAAACAGUAGAACAGGGAAGUAAAAGGAGGACAAAUGACCUGGCUAAAUGUGUCCUUUAUUAGAACAAACCUUUCAGAGUGUUAGCUACCAUGUCUUUUGCUGGAUUGUAAUGAAAUAUCAGUAUGUAAUUCAUAAUGACUUUAUUUAAAAUACAGUGGUACCUCGGUUUACAAACUUAAUCCAUUCCGGAAGUCCGUUCUUAAACCAAAACCAUUCUUAAACCAAGGCACGCGUUCCCUAAUGAGGCCUCCCACAACCGGUGCCCUUCUACCGUUUGGAUUCCGUUCUUUGACCGAGUUAAAGUUCUCAAACCAGGACACUACUUCCAUUUUUGCAGAGUUCGUAAACCAAUUUGUUCUUAAACCGGACUGCUCUUAAACCAAGGUACCACUAUAAUAAUAAUAAUAAAAUCUGUAAGACCUUCAGUCCAGCUAAAACUGGUUUGUUUGUUUUCCUCUCUCUCUCUCUCCGCCCCCCCCACCCCCAUUUCUGGCUGGAUUCAAAGAUGACCUCACUUCAAAUCAUCAUCAAAAGUGGCAGAUAUAUAAAGAGGCUCUCUAUUUAUUUGAUGAAGGACUAGUAGACUGGAGUCAGGCAGACAGCUUUUGUGAGAGUCAAAAAUCCAAACUGGUUAUUAUUGAAAAUGAAAAAGAGGAGGUAAGCUAGCUGAACACUAUAUAUAGAAAUGGCAUGAAUAAUCCUUUCUAAAUAAGACAGAGUGGGAUUGGGAAACUGCAAGCAAGAGGCUGUGCAGGGUAAUUUGAUGCUGCUGGAACAAUGGAGGAAGGGAAGGGUGGCAUAGAACUAGAGAUUGUUUAGCUGAGAGAGAAAUGCCUUUCCCCCUCCUAAAAUGAAGGGAUUCAAAGAAGAUGAAGAUGUAACUCAGAUUAAAAUUAGGACUCUUGGGUUGUAUUGGUAUUAUCCUGCGUAGUGAGUGAUGUAGCAGAGCAGAUUCCCUUCAAUAUAGCAGGAAGCUAGUUUGCAGAUCUGUUUGAAUCUCUUUAGUUAAGUAAUCCAAUCUGGCUUGCCAGAUGGAUUAUUCCUGGUGUCCCCUUUUAUCCCUCUUAAAAGAAUAAAGAAACGAGUCUUUCCUUUCGAAAUAACAAGAGGUUUGCUCACAUUUCAGUUCAUGAUUUGAUCCCUGAAAGGCAGGCUUUACUUAGUAGUUACAUAACAAUCUGUGAGUUCAUCUCGCAUGGAGAUUGAGAUCAUGUGCUGACAGCAAAAUUUACAUCAAGAGAACAAAAUGGCUACAGGAGAGCAGGAAGCAAGAGAUUAGCAAGAGAGGGAGGAUGGCUGCGUGACUCAGCUCUUUUAUGGAGUCAGCCAGGGCCAUGCCUAUCUCCUAGAUCACAUGCAGGGGGAAGGAUGCUCCAGACGAGUGGAACAGGAAGUUACACUGACUGGAUGUCCCCUUGCUUGUGCCCACUCUAGGGAAAUAAGCAUGUUGCAUUUGACUGCACCAGUGGGUUACAUCCCACAGAGCAGACAAUAAGAACUGAGUGAACCCCAAGUGAUCCAUCUUGAUAAAGGAAGCCUUGUUGCACAUGCUAACAGCAAACCCCAACAGUGAGUUCAGACAGGACAUUCCUGCAUUUCAGGGGGUUCGACCCUUGGGGUCCCUUCCAACUCUACAAUUCUGGGAUUCUGGGCUAGAAAGGAGCAGAUUUGUCUGCACAAAGGAGAACUGGGAUUUCUAUUGGUGGGACACAUCUGUUCGAGAAUCUCAGAUUUGGGGAGAGGCUAUAAUAUGGAUUUGAACUGUGAAAUAUCUAGGAGAAUGUGGUUAGUGUCGGCGUCCUCCUCCCCCCCAAAAAAUAAAUAAAUAUUAUGGGCUGGUUGCUAUGAUCUUACUGGUGGGAAAUUACACCAAGCAAGAUGGUUGACCUUGGAGUUUCUAUCUUAAAGAAUCAUAGAAUCAUAGAGUUGGAAUAGACCACAAGGGCCAUCGAGUCCAACCCCCUGCCAAGCAGGAAACACCAUCAGAGCACUCCUGACAUAUGAUUGUCAAGCCUCUGCUUAAAGACCUCCAAAGAAGGAGACUCCACCACACUCCUUGGCAGCAAAUUCCACUGUCGAACAGCUCUUACUGUCAGGAAGUUCUUCCUAAUGUUUAGGUGGAAUCUUCUUUCUUGUAGUUUGGAUCCAUUGCUCCGUGUCCGCUUCUCUGGAGCAGCAGAAAACAACCUUUCUCCCUCCUCUAUAUGACAUCCUUUUAUAUAUUUGAACAUGGCUAUCAUAUCACCCCUUAACCUCCUCUUCUCCAGGCUAAACAUGCCCAGCUCCCCCAGCCGUUCCUCAUAAGGCAUCGUUUCCAGACCUUUGACCAUUUUGGUUGCCCUCCUCUGGACACGUUCCAGUUUGUCAGUGUCCUUCUUGAACUGCGGUGCCCAGAACCGGACACAGUACUCCAGGUGAGGUCUGACCAGAGCAGAAUACAGUGGCACUAUUACUUCCCUUGAUCUAGAUGCUAUACUCCUAUUGAUGCAGCCCAGAAUUGCAUUGGCUUUUUUAGCUGCCGCAUCACACUGUUGGCUCAUGUCAAGUUUGUGGUCAACCAAGACUCCUAGAUCCUUUUCACAUGUACUGCUCUCAAGCCAGGUGUCACCCAUCUUGUAUUUGUGCCUCUCAUUUUUUUGCCCAAGUGCAAUACUUUACAUUUCUCCCUGUUAAAGUUCAUCUUGUUUGUUUUGGCCCAGUUCUCUAAUCUGUCAAGGUCGUUUUGAAGUGUGAUCCUGUCCUCUGGGGUGUUAGCCACCCCUCCCAGUUUGGUGUCAUCUGCAAAUUUGAUCAGGAUGCCCUUGAGUCCAUCAUCCAAGUCGUUGAUAAAGAUGUUGAAUAAGACCGGGCCCAAGACAGAACCUUGUGGCACCCCACUAGUCACUCUUCUCCAGGAUGAAGAGGAACCAUUGAUGAGCACCCUUUGGGUUCGGUCAGUCAGCCAGUUACAAAUCCACUGAGUGGUAGCAUAGUCAAGACCGCAUUUUACCAGCUUCUUUACAAGAAUAUCAUGGGGCACCUUGUCAAAUGCCUUGCUGAAAUCAAGGUAGGCUACAUCCACUGCAUUCCCUUCAUCUACCAGGCUUGUAAUUCUGUCAUAAAACGAGAUCAGGUUAGUCUGACAUGACUUAUUUUUCAGAAAUCCACGCUGACUAUUGGUGAUCACAGCAUUCCUUUCUAGGUGCUCACAGACUGUUUGCUUAAUGAUGUGCUCCAGAAUCUUCCCUGGUAUUGAUGUCCAACUGACUGGGUGAUAAUUAUUUGGGUCCUCUCUUUCCCCCUUUUUGAAAAUAGGGACAACAUUUGCCCUCCUCCAGUCUGCCAGGACUUCGCCUGUUCUCCAGGAAUUCUCAAAGAUGACUGCCAGUGGUUCUGAGAUCACAUCUGCCAGUUCUUUUAAUACUCUUGGAUGCAGUUCAUCUGGCCCUGGAGACUUGAAUACAUCUAAACUAGCCAAGUAUUCUUGUACUAUCUCCUUAGUUAUUCUGGGCUGUGUUUCCUCUGCUGAAUCAUUUGCUCCAAAUUCUUCAGGUCGGGCAUUGUUUUCUUUAUCGGAGAAGACUGAGGCAAAGAAGGCAUUGAGGAGUUCAGCCCUUUCUGUGUCCCCUGUUUGCAUUUCACCAUCUUCUCCUCUGAGUGACCCCACUGUUUCUUUGUUCUUCCUUUUGCUACGGACAUACCCAUAAAAGCCUUUUUGUUGCUUUUAACCUCUCUAGCAAGCCUGAGUUCAUUCUGUGCUUUAGCUUUUCUGACUUUGUGUCUACAUGUGCUGGCUAUUUGUUUGAAUUCCUCUUUGGUGGUUUCCCCCUUUUCCAUUUUUGUACACAUCCUUUUUAAUCUUAACUCAGUUAAAAGUUCUUUAGAUAGCCACCCUGGCUUCUUUAGGCACCUUCCAUGUUUCCGUCUCAUUGGUAUUGCCUGAAGUUGUGCUUUUACUAUCUCCCUCUUAACAAACUCCCAGCCAUCAUGAACUCCCUUUCCUUUUAGUAUUACUGUCCAUGGGAUCUCACCCAGCACUUCCCUAAGUUUUAUGAAGUCGGCUUUCUUAAAGUCAAGAAAUUGAGUCCUAGUAUGCUUGGCUGCUCUUUUCCGCUGUAUAGUAAACUUCAGAAGAGCAUGAUCACUCGCGCCUAAUGAUCCUUCCACUUCUACCCCACUAACCAGGUCAUCAACAUUGGUUAGGACCAGAUCUAAAAUGGCUGUUCCUCUUGUUGCUUCUCCCACUUUCUGGACAAUGAAGUUGUCUGCAAGGCCAGUGAGGAAUCUGUUUGACCUUAUGCUCUUGGCUGAGUUUGACAUCCAACAAAUAUCCGGGUAAUUGAAGUCCCCCAUUACUACUAUCUCCCUUCCUUUUGCAUGCUUGGCCAUCUGUUCCAGGAAGGCAUCAUCUAUGUCCUCCGUUUGGCUUGGGGAUCUAUAGUAAACUCCCACAAUGAGGUCUCUGUUAUUCUUCUCUCCCUUAAUUUUGACCCAAAUGCUCUCACUUUGGCCUUGAGGUUCUAAAUCUUGGAUCUCUUCACAGGUAUACACAUCCCUGACAUAUAACGCCACUCCUCCUCCUUUCUUGUCUGGUCUGUUUCUCUGAAAUAGAUUGUAUCCCUCCAUUAUUACAUUCCAAUCGUGGGACUUAUCCCACCAGGUUUCAGUGAUGCCUAUUGUGUCAUAUUUAGUUUGCUGUACUAAGAGCUCAAGCUCAUCUUGUUUAUUUCCCAUGCUUUGUGCAUUAGUGUACAGACAUUGAAGUCCAUUAAUCAUUCCCCCGUGUCUCUUAUUUAAGGAUUUUUUCCUCCCACCACUAGGUCUGCGUGCUGUUUGCUCCAUUUGGUCUAUGACAUUUGGAUGAUCAUCUUCAUCAAUUCCUACCUUCAGGAGCACUGUCUCCCUCCCCCACAUUAGUCAGUUUAAAGCCCUCCUGAUGAGGUUUCUGAGAUUUUUGGCAAAAACAUUCCUCCCAACCGUUGUGAGGUGCAGCCCAUCGCUUGCCAGAAGUCCAUCUUCAAGAAACUGCAGUCCGUGAUCUAAGAAUCCAAACCGUUCCUGUUUACACCAUUUGCGAAGCCAGCUGUUCACUUCCACUAUUUUCCCUCUCUCCCUGGGCCACGUCGUUCAACUGGGAGGACAGAUGAGAUGACAAUUUGUGCAUUUAAUUGCUUCAAUUUCCUGCCCAGAGCCUCGUAGUCUCUUUUGAUCUUCUGGAGGCUAUUGCUUGCAGUGUCAUUGGUUCCCACAUGAACCAAGAGGAAGGGGUAUUUGUCAGUGGGUUUUAUGAUUCCUUGCAGUCGUUCAGUUACAUCUUGGAUCUUAGCCCCGGGGAGACAGCACACCUCCCGAGACAUCUUGUCAGGCCCACAGAUCACUGCUUCUGUUCCCCUCAGUAGGGAAUCCCCUAUCACCACUACACGCCUCCUCUUAGGUUUGGUCGGGGUUCUUCCGUGAGCUGUCCGUUCCAAGGUCGCCUGCACAUUCCCUGAGGACUGACUUUGCUGCUCAUCUUCAUAUACCUGAUCGACUGUAAUGAGGGAGAGAUCCUCAAAUGGAGUCUGUUCUUCGUCUUCCAUGCUAGGGGAGAGGACUUCAAAGCGAUUGUGUAUUUCUAAACAAUCAGAGCGAACCCUGGACCUCCUACUUUUUUGAGUCACGUUUCUCCAUAUAUCUGGCACCUCUGUUGGUGAACUAGUCUCCUUCUCAGGGGUGUCCCCUGUCUCCUCCUUGGUGGAGACGGUGUUCUCUGUAGCUUCCAAGAAGAGCUCCAGCUCUCUAAUUCUUUGGAGCGUAGCUACACGUUCCUCCAGUUGCUGGACUUUGUCUUCUAAGAGGGCAAUCAACAUACAAUUGCUGCAGGUAAAGCUGCCUGCAACCUUUGGCAAGAUGGCAAACAUUGCGCAGGAACCGCAGGCGACUGCAGCUGUUCCCUCACCCUCCAUCUUGAAAACGUGUCGUUGGGGGUGGCUACAGUGGUCCUCCAUCUUAAAAAGCGUGAAGACAGGACAAAUAACCCCCCCCCCAAAAAAAACCUAGGUCUCCCCCAACAAACGUUUGAGACUAGCUCCCCUAAAUCUAAAAGCUCUGAUAAGCUCCUCCCACAGCUAAUCACCUGACUCAACAGAAACCCUGCCCCCUCUGACCUUUGCACAGGGAGAGCAGCUAAUCAGCCACAAAGAAACACACACACAAGAAAACCCUUUUGCUCCUCCUUCGGCUGCUGCCCUGCAAGCUCUGAUAAGCUCCUCCCAAGAAAAAGACUUCAGACUACAUGUGAUGUGGGACAGAGGAGCUGAGCAGCAAGAAGACUAAUUAUUGGACUGGAUUGCUAUGUUACUAUAUAUGCAUAUGGAAGGAGAGGAAGUUUUAUUUUAAUUAACAUUAAUUAAUGAUUUAGUAGGGAUUGACAAUCUGAUAAGUAGCCUCACUUGUCAAAACUGGAAAUGUUAAAUAAUGUAUGUGCAGGAAUUGAUUGCUAGAGAGCUGUUUGAAAAGUAAAAAUAUUGUAUUUUGUAAGGUUAUUUGUAAUGUCUGAAGAUAAACUAGAUGUAAUCAGGAAAUAUGAUGCAGCAUGAAGGAGAAUCAUUAACAUGUCUAGGAAGACUUAUGGGAAGUCAGAUUUGGAAAAAUGUUAAAUUUGUUUUAAUUAGUGACUAAUUUGUAAAGAAAAAAUGAAAAUCAAUAAAAAAAUAUUUGCCCCCCCCAAAAAAAAAACCUUACAGUUCCCAGGAUGCUUUGGAGGAAGCAUUGAGUGGUUAAAGUGGUAUGAUACUUCACAGUGCAGAUGGGGCCACAGUCUGGGGAUGACCUGAGAGGGGAUUCUGGCCUCUCAUUCCUAUGAAAGACUUUCUGAUUGUGCUUUCAGCAGGAGUUCCUGGAAAAUGCAAUUAAAAACGAACAGCAUGACUUCUGGAUUGGGCUCCGUCAUUUCAUUGGAUGGAAAUGGAUAGAUAACACUUACCCACCACGAUAGUGAGUCUUGAAGCAACGUUUCUCUGUUUAUUGUAUUGUAGAAACUUUGCUAAGAAUUUGUUUUUUUGCUCUUCAUUGAAAGCUCUUCCUGUCCUUUGCCUGCAUCUAGAAUCCAGCAGAGUAUUUUAUUUCCAUUGCAUUUUAUGUUCCAUGUCAGAAAGGCGGUUUUGUAGGGAGGAAGCAAUAUUAUAUUGUCCAGCUUCAUCAGAAGUGGUAAUGCUGCGUAGUUUGACGGGGCUUGAUAGUAGUUUCAUGCUCAACAAUGAAGGGCUUCUACACUGAGACAAGAAAUCACCCCACAUGGCAGGGGCUGGUCCAGUAGGGCGAAUGUGCCUCACCAACCUCAGUCUGUCCUCAGCCUUCAUAUACCUACAACCAAUCUUGGGUGGAGUGGAGGUGGUUCUUCCAGUCGUUGCUUCCACAUAUGGUUUGUAUCCUUGCCUUCCACUCUGCCACUACUUAUGGGCACCAGCCACCUAGGACUCCACAUAGCCAAAUGCCCCCUCACCCAUGCCUUCUCACAGUCUCUCUCCACUUUCACCAUGUGCGUGAACACUGUAGUCCUUCAAAUCACCCCAGUUCUUCAUCUUCUUCAGCAAUCACUUGUAGCCAUGUAAGAUUGUCUUCCAUGAACACAGUCUUAACAGUGAGUCCGUAAGUGGAUCCACACGUCCUUCCACAGUGAGGACAUAGGUUUCCUGGUGGGAGUUGAUCACGGUGAGGGUUUGCCAAACGUGCCUUCCUCUUAGCACGUUUCUCCCUUUUGUCCUGAGUUUGAGUGUCUUCAAAGUCCAUGACACCUUUAGUAAAGGCUGUUCAACUGGAGUGCUCACAGGCCAGUGAUUCCCAAUUGUUGGUGUUUAUACUACAUUUUUUAAUAUUUGCCUUGAGAGUCUUUAAACCUCUGUUGUUGGCCACUGGCAUUACACUUUCCAUUUUUAAAUUCGGAAUAGAGUAGUUACUUUGGAAGACGAUGAUUAGGCAUCCGAACAGCAUGACCAGUCCAUGACUAGAGCAUGGUGGCGACAGCAUGUCCCCUUUGCCUCCCCCUCAGUUUUGAUCCUCUCCAUUUUUUGGAAGACCAAGCAAUGCUUUUUGACCUCACCUUGUUAAAAUAUGAUAGUUUGCCUCUUUGAACAGAGACGAAAGCAUAAGUGUGAGGAAUUCUACUGCUUCUUAAAUGUUUGCUAAAGUGUAGGAAUGCAGGUACACAAGGCUUGCUUUGUUCCAUAGUAUCAUUCAGUGGUUAUUGUUGCUUUCCACCAUCAUCACCCCAGUCAAUCAUUAGCUCUGGCUAACAGAAUGAAGAAUCUACUAGAACCGCAGGAUCCUAUGUCCACUUAGAACUAAUGAGUGUGGAGAAAGAGAAUAGAGAAAAGGCUUUCUCCUACUCUCAUAACACUAGAAGUCAUCUUUCUUAAAAGCCACAUUUCCCUAAGUGUGUGAUUACACCCCCUGAGGGGCACUAGAAUGAUCCAAGUGGUCGUUGAAUAAAAAUAAGUGGGUGGAAGAGAAGAGAAGAGAAGAGAAGAGAAGAGAAGAGAAGAGAAGAGAAGAUUCAUCUGUUAUGUAAUGACGCUUACUGCCAGGUUGGGCUCCGUUGUGGGUUGGCAACAAAAGUUCACCUGGAUCUGGCAAUUGCACUGGAGGGGAGAGGUUUUCACAGGCUAGGGUGAACUUUUGGGCUUCACCCAGACCCAGAAAGUGGAUCGCAGACUGCCUGUCUAUUUGGCCCAUGGCAGGCAGGAUGCGGCACCGGCUCGGCCCCUGGGAUAGAUCGGACUGAGCCGGCAGUCUUAACUCUGGUCCGCUCCAUGGAAUUUUAAUCUUUCUUUAUUAGGUUGUAGGAUAUAGGUAGAAACAGGGCUUUUUCAGGGGGAACUCACAGGAACUCAGCUCUGGGACUUCUCAGGUGGGUUCCAGAACCUCUCAGGUGAGUUCUGGAACCUCCCAGGUGGGUGCAAUUCAAAGAGAAAGAGGGAGGCAUUCAUGGUGAGUUCCGGCAUCUUUUUUUCUAGAAAAAUAGCACUGGGUAGAAAUACAGACACAUAAAAGAAUGCAAAUUUGUCACUGCAUCUUUUAUUUGUUUGCUUAAAAAAGGUUGGUUCCUGGGGGGGGGGUUCUGAGUAUUUUUAUUUUUUUUCUGAAAGGAGGUGGUAGGCCACAUAGGUUUGGGAGCCUCUGCUUUAAAGCCUUCCACGUUGGUGGCCAUCACCACCUCCUGUUGAAGUGAGUUCCACAGGUUAACUCCAUGCUGUGUGAAGAAGCCUUUUCUUUUUUCAGACCAGCUUCAUUUAAUGCCCUGGAAUCUGAGGAUUCUGAGAGGGGGAGAUCUCUUAAUGCUGAAAUAAAGUACACACCCCAUGUUGAUGGAUAGGGACACCAAGCCAGAUGUACGGGGUAUAAAUAAAUUAAUAAUAAUAACAAUAACAACAACAACAACAAUAAUAAUAAUUUGCUUCUCACUGACUCAUUGAUUUGUGCUUCCUUUUCUUUUCAGUUAUUGGGUAGUCGGUAAGCCAGACAACCACCUUCAUAGACCAGUCGGUGCAAUAAAAGCAAAGUGUGCAACACCACUGCGAUGUUGGGAGAACUUUCCCCGUCUUGAUCAAAAAAGAAGCAUAUGUAAGAAGAAGCCUGAUAAACGAUGGUUCAAUUAAAACUCUUCAUGGGCAAUGAAUCGACCCACCUUUAAUAGAAGCCAUGGUCAAUGAUCCAAUGAUCCAAAUUAUGGAAUUAUGGGCAUGGAAGAGAUCAGGUCUUUGACACCAGCACUCAAAAGCCUUUUGUCAAUCCUGCAUCCUCAGGUGACCUGAUUUUGCAACCUCAGAUAAUGGAAACUCCUGGAAAAUAAAGCAAGGAGGACUCAGUCGUAGCCCACUUUCUGUUGCAAUAAAUCCAAUACAGCC